RNAcentral lists this ribosomal RNA (253 nucleotides) under uncultured bacterium. RNAcentral describes it as "partial 16S ribosomal RNA". It matches the Rfam family "Bacterial small subunit ribosomal RNA", at positions 524 to 776 of the family's 1533-position model. The record is from RNAcentral.
UACGAAGGGGGCUAGCGUUGCUCGGAAUUACUGGGCGUAAAGCGCACGUAGGCGGCUUUUUAAGUCGGAGGUGAAAUCCUGGAGCUCAACUCCAGAACUGCCUUCGAUACUGAAGAGCUCGAGUCCGGGAGAGGCGAGUGGAAUUCCCGGUGUAGCGGUGAAAUGCGCAGAUAUCGGGAGGAACACCAAUGGCGAAGGCAGCUCGCUGGGACGGUACUGACGCUGAGACGCGAAAGCGUGGGGAGCAAACAGG